UGGAGAGAGAGAGAACAAACAGACUGAUGGAGGUGGAGAGAGAGAACAAACAGACUGAUGGAGGUGGAGAGAGAGAACAAACAGACUGAUGGAGGUGGAGAGAGAGAACAAACAGACUGAUGGAGGUGGAGAGAGAGAACAAACAGACUGAUGGAGGUGGAGAGAGAGAACAAACAGACUGAUGGAGGUGGAGAGAGAGAACAAACAGACUGAUGGAGGUGGAGAGAGAGAACAAACAGACUGAUGGAGGUGGAGAGAGAGAACAAACAGACUGAUGGAGGUGGAGAGAGAGAACAAACAGACUGAUGGAGGUGGAGAGAGAGAACAAACAGACUGAUGGAGGUGGAGAGAGAGAACAAACUGACUGAUGGAGGUGGAGAGAGAGAACAAACAGACUGAGGGAGGUGGAGAGAGAGAACAAACAGACUGAUGGAGGUGGAGAGAGAGAACAAACAGACUGAUGGAGGUGGAGAGAGAGAACAAACAGACUGAUGGAGGUGGAGAGAGAGAACAAACAGACUGAUGGAGGUGGAGAGAGAGAACAAACAGACUGAUGGAGGUGGAGAGAGAGAACAAACAGACUGAUGGAGGUGGAGAGAGAGAACAAACAGACUGGUGGAGGUGGAGAGAGAACAAACAGACUGAUGGAGGUGGAGAGAGAGAACAGACUGAUGGAGGUGGAGAGAGAGAACAAACAGACUGAUGGAGGUGGAGAGAGAGAACAAACAGACUGAUGGAGGUGGAGAGAGAGAACAAACAGACUGAUGGAGGUGGAGAGAGAACAAACAGACUGAUGGAGGUGGAGAGAGAACAAACAGACUGAUGGAGGUGGAGAGAGAACAAACAGACUGAUGGAGGUGGAGAGAGAGAACAAACAGACUGAUGGAGGUGGAGAGAGAGAACAAACAGACUGAUGGAGGUGGAGAGAGAGAACAAACAGACUGGUGGAGGUGGAGAGA
This is a long non-coding RNA of Oncorhynchus keta (chum salmon), 959 nucleotides long. RefSeq lists it as uncharacterized. Lineage: Eukaryota; Metazoa; Chordata; Actinopteri; Salmoniformes; Salmonidae. The record is from RefSeq and is a predicted model, not a curated record. The transcript is spliced from 3 exons.